AUGGCAUCUGAGUCAUUCAGACAGUUUAAGGAAUGGCUGGAAGCAGCAAAAACCAUGGCAGAUGAGUUGGAAACCCAAAAAACUAAAAAGAAAAGAAAACAAAAGGGAACUGAAGUCUCCAAUGUUUCCUGGAGGAAGAGAGACCAGCAUGGGAACAUCCUACCACAGCGUGUUAGGAAGACUCGAUCUAAGAAACCUGCUGGCACUAGAGAGCUCUCAGAAGUUGAGGAGGUGGAAAUGGAUGAAAUUCCACAAGAGGUCCCAAGUCUUGAUCAACAUCUUCAGAGACUAAAAAACCUGCUAAAUUCUGCCACUGUCUCUGCACCAGUGGAAGCAGAAGAGACACCCACCAUGUCUGCAUGGACCAACAGACAGGUCAUCUCUGAAAAAAAAUUUAGGACUGCAAUGCCAGAAAUCUUAAAUUGCAUGUUGGCUGCAGAGACAGUAACCCAGCAUUGCUGUCAACAAUGCAAGACUGCUGAUGCUGUUGUCCGGUGCCUAGACUGUGUUCCCUCAGGAAGUCAGUUUUUCUGUUCCACAUGUGACUCAGAGAUCCACAGAAAAAAUUGUUUCCAUAAUAGAGAAGCUAUGUUUGAUGGUUUUUUUAAACCUAUUCCACCAACAUCUUUAGUGGUGGUUGAUGAAAGUGGCCAAUAUCAACUCGGUGAACAAGUGUGUAUGCUUCCGAUUUCUCCACCAAUGCAAAUCUGCCCCUGCGGUCCAAACCAAGACUUCACUGUUAUCCCAGGAAAGAAGACUGUCUUGGUGACUAUCAACGGUCCAUACAAUCUGUGCCUGCCUAGUAUAUCCUGUCCACUUUGUUCUUGUAAAUGGACUCCUGGGAUUAGUGACUUGCUUGAAUAUAGAUACUGGCCAGCAACCACCAGCUGCCAAAUGCUGUUCAAGUUUGAUGUGUUCACAUCAUUUGAGCAGAUGAAGUUAGCUAGCCCAGCAUUAUCCCAACAAGCAUUUCUCAAAAUGCUUGAACAUCGAUCUCUUUGCACUGGUCGGAGGGGUAGUAUUUGUGGUGAUACCUUCCACAGAGUCUUUCGGGAGUUUGCCUUCUGCAAUUAUAAGAAAGAAGAUCUGUGCUUGAUGGAGCCCUUUAAAUGCCCAGCAUGCACACCAGACAUGCUGGCUAUAUCUGCAGAUGGUAAUAGAAAACAUUACCGGUUCAAAAAGUCCAAAGGGACAGAUAUACCAUCUCUUUUUGAUGGGCUGUUCAUCGCACAAGAUGCCAAAGUGUCUGCCUUUGUUGACCAAAUAAGAAGCCAGAUGUGCAGUAGGACAGGUCAUGAUGUCUGUGGUCCGGCAAUAUUUACAGCAGGCAGAGAAACAUCUCAGAAAUCCAGGGCCAAGGUGGAUGAAGAGGGCCUUGAAAUAGCUGUGUGCAGACAUGGAAUCUUGCUGCAAGGCUUAAAUCACUAUCGUGGUGAAAUAUAUGCCUACCCAAUGUUCCUGCAGAAGGAGCUGGCACAAGUUGCAAAUGCAACAUUCUUUUGUAUGGACAUUACCUGCAGGUAGGCUUGCAAGCUUACCAUUGCCAAUUGACAACUGAAGUUUUUACUGAUAUUUUACCAUUAUUAAUCUAUGUUAUGCAUGGCAAUAACACCAUGACUAGCUAAAAAUCACACAUUUAAUAUAUUAUGGACUUAGAAAGUUAAUAUGGUGACUGUGUUAUCAAUUUACUAGUACCACAUAUUAAAUGCAAUAUGACAGCACAGUGUUCUUUGAUUGUUUACAGGAAUUUUGCAAGUCACAUAUGUCCUUGUUUGUUUGUCCUUGCAUCUCAAAUACUAAGUGGUUUUCCCAUUACAGGUACUGGCCUUAUUUGGAAAAGAUGGCAGAGAAGUUGCCUGAACUCCAACCACUUACCAUGAUGAAGCCUUUUCUGUCUGUAAUGCAUGCCAAGGCUCACACUGGCAAAUGUGAGGUACAGUGUGCAAUUUAAGUGUACGAGUUUCAGUUUUUAGAAGCAUAUUCUUACAGCAUCAGAAAUAUUUAGCUGGAUUUUUAUCUCUUUUAAUAUGG
This is a long non-coding RNA of Cyprinus carpio (common carp), 2031 nucleotides long. NCBI's taxonomy places the organism in Eukaryota, Metazoa, Chordata, Actinopteri, Cypriniformes, Cyprinidae. The record is from Ensembl.